This 737-nucleotide ribosomal RNA is filed under the name uncultured bacterium. Its description in RNAcentral is "bacterial SSU rRNA". It matches the Rfam family "Bacterial small subunit ribosomal RNA", at positions 109 to 841 of the family's 1533-position model. The record is from RNAcentral.
AGUAAUAUAUCGGAACGUGCCCAGUCGUGGGGGAUAACGCAGCGAAAGCUGUGCUAAUACCGCAUACGAUCUCUGGAUGAAAGCGGGGGACUCGCAAGAGCCUCGCGCGAUUGGAGCGGCCGAUAUCAGAUUAGCUAGUUGGUGGGGUAAAAGCCCACCAAGGCGACGAUCUGUAGCUGGUCUGAGAGGACGACCAGCCACACUGGAACUGAGACACGGUCCAGACUCCUACGGGAGGCAGCAGUGGGGAAUUUUGGACAAUGGGCGCAAGCCUGAUCCAGCAAUGCCGCGUGCAGGAUGAAGGCCUUCGGGUUGUAAACUGCUUUUGUACGGAACGAAACGGCUCUUUCUAAUAAAGAGGGCUAAUGACGGUACCGUAAGAAUAAGCACCGGCUAACUACGUGCCAGCAGCCGCGGUAAUACGUAGGGUGCGAGCGUUAAUCGGAAUUACUGGGCGUAAAGCGUGCGCAGGCGGUUAUAUAAGACAGAUGUGAAAUCCCCGGGCUCAACCUGGGACCUGCAUUUGUGACUGUAUAGCUAGAGUACGGUAGAGGGGGAUGGAAUUCCGCGUGUAGCAGUGAAAUGCGUAGAUAUGCGGAGGAACACCGAUGGCGAAGGCAAUCCCCUGGACCUGUACUGACGCUCAUGCACGAAAGCGUGGGGAGCAAACAGGAUUAGAUACCCUGGUAGUCCACGCCCUAAACGAUGUCAACUGGUUGUUGGGUCUUUACUGACUC